ACUCUUCCUUUUAGGGAGUGUCGAUAAAGUACAGCAGAAGCACUGGACCAAUCACUACUGCCUGUUCUACCCUUAAACCCCCCUCUCAAAAGUUUCAAAUUACAUCUCAAUGUGCAGACUUGUUCGACGACGACCCAAGAUUUCAAGACCCACAAAGUGGUAGUCCACAACGCCAUGUAAGAAAGGCUUCAUUUGCUGCAGUAACCUCACUGUGGAGGGAAAACCUGGAAAGCAAAGCAGUGGCAUCCCUCCACUACAGAGCAUGUGUGCAGGGACUGGAGUAAAAAGGAGUUUCAGGAAAAUCCACCACACCAGGGAGAGCAGAGACUCACAUAUCUGACCCAAGCUGCAAAAUGAACAGCAGGGAGUGUACGCUUUCACUUCCUGGAAGGUUUGAGGAAAAUAGAGCAGCUCCCAGUGAAACUCAAAAGCAUACAGAAACAUCAGGCUGCAGCAGAAACCGAAGCACUCCUCCGCUCAUGCAAAGCAGACACUUCUCAGUGAUUAUUUUUUUUGGCCUUUUGCCCUUAUUCUGACAGGACAGCCAAAGAGAGACAGGGAACAUGGUUGGAAAGAAUGGGGGAAGACAAACAACAAACAGCAUCGAGACCAGGAAUCGAUCCUGCAACAGGUUUGGGUUGUUGAAACUCUGCAUGCUGGUCAAAGAUUCAGAGCUCAUUAACUCCAUGAAAAUGCAGAAAAAGAGAAAAACCAUUUUCCUCAAAGUAAACCCUCACAGUGGCCUCCUCUGCUCUUACCUUGUGUCAGUCUCUCCGUUUGAUGGAUGGAAGAAAGGCAGGCGAGGAGGUGGCAAUCCAGAGGCACAGGCUUCAGGUGUGAACAGGUGUGCGGGUUCACUGCAGUGCUGGAAUGGGAGCAGUUCCAGGUGCACAGCUGCGGGGUGGGGCUCACACUUGCACAUACUCCCAGCCUGGCGGCCUGUGUUGAAAUACUGAGUCCCUGGGAAGGGGGGAGUGGGGCUUCCAGGUAAAUUUUAUUUCACACUGUCAUAACUUUGAAGAGGGGAAAAUGAGGAAGAAGGAGGUUAGGGUGCAUGUGAGGAGGAUUUAAUCCUGAGGAAGGAAAGAUUUUUGGACUAUUCCUGUACAUGUGGGCUUUUUCUGUGUGCUGUGGAUUUCUAUGUGUAGGCGUGAGAGAUCUGUGUAUAUUUAAGAAUCAGCAGCAUGACAAAGAGUGGCAUUUGGGAGGUUGCAAGAC
Long non-coding RNA from Cheilinus undulatus (humphead wrasse), 1218 nucleotides. RefSeq lists it as uncharacterized. NCBI's taxonomy places the organism in Eukaryota, Metazoa, Chordata, Actinopteri, Labriformes, Labridae. The record is from RefSeq and is a predicted model, not a curated record. The transcript has 6 exons.